GAUGAACGCUGGCGGCGUGCCUAAUACAUGCAAGUCGAGCGAACAGACGAGGUGCUUGCUCCUCUGACGUUAGCGGCGGACGGGUGAGUAACACGUGGAUAACCUACCUAUAAGACUGGGAUAACUUCGGGAAACCGGAGCUAAUACCGGAUAAUAUAUUGAACCGCAUGGUUCAAUAGUGAAAGAUGGUUUUGCUGUCCCUUAUAGAUGGCUCCGCGCGGCAUUAGCUAGUUGGUAAGGUAACGGCUUACAAAGGCAACGAUGCGUAGCCGACCUGAGAGGGGGAUCGGCCACACUGGAACUGAGACAGGGUCAAGACUCCUACGGAAGGCAGCAGAAGGGAAUCUUCCGCAAUGGGCGAAGGCCUGACGAGGCAACGCGGCGGGAGGAAUGAAGGUCUUCGGAUCGUAAAACUCGGUUAUAAGGGAGGAACAAAUGUGUAAGGAACUAUGCACGUAUUGACGGUACCUAAUCAGAAAGCCACGGCUAACUACGUG
This 497-nucleotide ribosomal RNA is filed under the name uncultured bacterium. Its description in RNAcentral is "partial 16S ribosomal RNA". It matches the Rfam family "Bacterial small subunit ribosomal RNA", at positions 28 to 507 of the family's 1533-position model. The record is from RNAcentral.